GUCUCUUAAGUCUAGCUCACACAUUUGUACAUUUAUGGUAAAAAUAUCACUGCUGAGGAACAUUUAUGGUAAAAAUAUCACUGCUGAGGUAAAUUUAUGGUAAAAAUAUCACUGCUGAGGCAAAUUCAUGGUUGGUUUGAAUUUGUGAAUUUCUUAUAUCAGGUCAAAAACUAUAAACAGAAUAAAAGCAAUAAUAACUUACAGUGGACGUUCAGCUUGAGCUGCUCUGAUUGACCCCGUCCAACAGAGUUAAACACAGUGCAGGAAACGGAGGUCUCCCGCAGGAUAUUUUUAAGGGUGUAGCGAUGUUCUGCUCCACUCUUCUUCACAGUGGUGUUCAUCUGAGAAACAGACCACUCGUAGCGAGAAGGUGGAGGUCUACUGGUAGCAGAACAUGUGAGUGAGAGAGAACCACCCUCAACCACACU
This is a long non-coding RNA of Astyanax mexicanus (Mexican tetra), 428 nucleotides long. RefSeq lists it as uncharacterized. The transcript is spliced from 3 exons. The record is from RefSeq and is a predicted model, not a curated record. Lineage: Eukaryota; Metazoa; Chordata; Actinopteri; Characiformes; Acestrorhamphidae.